Molecule: long non-coding RNA, 673 nt
Organism: Oreochromis niloticus (Nile tilapia)
Lineage: Eukaryota; Metazoa; Chordata; Actinopteri; Cichliformes; Cichlidae
Exons: 2
Source: RefSeq, a predicted model, not a curated record
CACUGCUGAGUUUGUCCUGGUGGAUCAUCAGGGGUGCAGAUGUAACAGAGUUAGAAAAUAGCUUAAUGAAUUUCCUCAAAAUUGAUGUGCUUUGUGACUAGUUGGAGCCACCUGGUGGACAAAUACCGCAACUGCAACUGUUAAGGUUCCAAAUCGCUGCACAGCGCAUGCCUCAGCAAAGGAAAAUACUCCCAAGCUGGUGAACUGAAUGUUGCAGUUGCUUUGCACACUGUUAAUGACGACUGUGUGCUGUUUUCUUUGUACCAGGUAGGCGCUGUUAAGUGUAAGUUUUAAUUGAUGCUGUUGUAUAGGAAAAAACAUGAUGAACAAUGAUGAUUGUUUUAUAAUAGAAAAGCUGUUUUAUAUGUUAUUGUUGUUGUUGGUUAGGAAAAAGGAGAAAAAUAAAUAAAUAAUACUGCUACUAUACGAUCACAGGUUUGGUUUCAGCUAGAACUUUUAAAGAAAGACUUUGUUGAUGUUGUGUUGUAUAAAUAUAUCUUAGUCAUUUGUUAAGUGUUAUGUUGGGGGAAAAAAAGAAAAAAAGGAAAAUACUCCCAAGCUGGUGAACUGAAUGUUGCAGUUGCUUUGCACACUGUUAAUGACGACUGUGUGCUGUUUUCUUUGUACCAGUUGCCAGAAUAAAGAGGGAGCCCAGAGUAAGGGCAAGUCCAGC